AGCGGCUUGUGUGGUCGGCGGUCCGGCAGGGUGGCAGCGGCGGCGUCGCGGGGACCCAGCCCGGAUCUGGAGAGUCCCCUGUAUUCAGGGAGUCACCUUCAGGGCUUCCUCACAUUUUGAGAACUUGCACACAGCACUUCCCCAACACCCGGACGGUCCCCGCAGCCCUCAGCGAGCAGAAACUACCUUCUAGGCUCACAAGGUAAUCGUCAGGGCUGCCCCCAGCCUUGCGAAUUUCCCCACUCUGAGGGGAAAUUUUCUUCCUGCUGACUCCCUCAUGCUCCUGGAAACCCAACGUCUUCUAGAUCAAAAGUUUCACUUUCAAGUCCUCUGGAUUCCUCCCUGAUACAUAAGUGACAAGCAAUAGGAGAUAUUGGCGUAUAUGAGGAAGCCAUUUGGUGUAAAACUAAUUCGGCCUGACCUUGUUUUUCCAAAAGGGCCUGCCAUGGCUGUGGAGCAUGCGUUGUAGAUCUGCUUUAAGAUUUGGUAUGUCCCAAAGACAAGAACAAAUGCCCUUAAGAUAAGGAUGUAACUCUCCCCACACUGGCAUUUCCUUAAGGAUAAGCAUCUCUCCCUGGGCUAGGGACUCAUUGCUCUGCUCACCUGUGACCACCCAGCUGGAGACAGCAGACCUGCUACCUGCUGUGCCCAUCAAUCUACAGGGCAAUCUCGUGACUGUUGUAAAAGGGACAUUCCUAUCAUAUGUGAUGUAUGCUCUUUGUUCCAUGACUAUACAAACACUUUGUACACCCUACUUCUUUUGUACCGUUCCUUCCUUGGAGAAGGAAGGUUCCAGGCUAGUCCUCAGAUCUGGCUCAUAAUAAACUCACUCCAAUUUUGAUUUAUAGAUUGCUUAUGGGUUAUUUGCUUUGACAUCCCAUUCUUCCAACUGCCAGUUUUCCCUUCCUCCCGCAGUCACUCUCUUAAAAGCCCCCCUUCUUCAAUUUCCACCGUCAUUGCCGCCCACUCUCAGGCACCCCGGGUCAUCCUCAGCAUCCAGGCCAUCACUCUUAGGCUCUCCUGUGCCUCCUCCCUCAGCAGCGUAACCUCCUGGGCUCUC
Molecule: long non-coding RNA, 1060 nt
Filed under: Equus asinus (donkey)
Lineage: Eukaryota; Metazoa; Chordata; Mammalia; Perissodactyla; Equidae
Description: lncRNA (ENSEASG00005026296.1)
Source: RNAcentral